AAUGAUUCAUAACAAUAAGGCCAAAAAAAAAUAUAUGUCUGUUUCCUGUUUCCCGACCGACCCUGACUCAAAGCCCCCGACCCUAGAUCUUUUUAUUCAAUUCCGGAAAAAAAUCGUUUCCGGUCCGGAAAAAUUCGGUUCCGGUCCGAUCCAGAUCCGUAUUUUACUAUACACAAACAAUCAAAAUGGCUGCUCCCAGCACAAUUGUGCUACAAUUAAGGUUUAAAAAAUGUCGGCACUGGGAGGAUUAUUCAAUUAAAGCUUCUUUAAAGAGAUUAAAUGAUUUUAGGGUACAGGACCCUAACCAAACAUGACAUUUAACCAUCUGCAAAUCUGACAGGGAGUGCAAAAAUAAUAAUUAAAAAAAAAAAAAAAAAAAAAAAAUCCCGACCUACCGACCCUGAUUUUUUUGCCUUGGCAGCAGGAAACAGACAUAUAUUUUUUUUUGGCCUAAGAUAAAAUUAUGAUAAAUGUGUUCAUUUAAAUGAAACAUCAUACAAAUAAAUUACAUUCAUACCUCAAAUUUUGCUCAACUGAUUAAAAAUCUACCCUUUACAUUCAACAUGUUCAAAGAUUACAGAAGAAUUAACUUAAUAACUCCUUAGAAUCAUGUGUUCUAUCGCCUUUGUUGCCUAAUCCCCUGCCCCUCUCCCCCCAAAAAUGAAAAGUUAAUGUAAUCUUGUAAUGUCAAAACCAUCACAUAAUCAUAAUGGUUGUUUCAAAUUACUACAAGAUGGUCUGUUCAGUAUAUUUUCAAGUACAAAAAUCAUUCUUAAUAAAAUAACAGAGUUCCAAUACCCCCUGCUCUGCACAUAUUUUAUCUAUCAAAGGGCAAAAAAUACCCACUUUUUGUUCUAUAAAACAAUUUAAAAAUAUCUUAGAGAAAUGAAGGCUUCAGAGCAAAUGCAAUCUGAUAUCCAUUUAUUUAAUUCCACCCCCGACCCCCACCAAGUGACAUAACUAGUAAAAAUAUUUGAUCAGCACUGGUUUUUGAAAGUGUCAAAGACAUUGCUGAU
Molecule: long non-coding RNA, 1016 nt
Filed under: Mytilus galloprovincialis (Mediterranean mussel)
Lineage: Eukaryota; Metazoa; Mollusca; Bivalvia; Mytilida; Mytilidae
Source: RNAcentral